GAUGAACGCUGGCGGCGUGCCUAACACAUGCAAGUCGAGCGAUUUACUUCGGUAAAGAGCGGCGGACGGGUGAGUAACGCGUGGGUAACCUGCCCUGUACACACGGAUAACAUACCGAAAGGUAUGCUAAUACGAGAUAAUAUGCUUUUAUCGCAUGGUAGAAGUAUCAAAGCUUUUGCGGUACAGGAUGGACCCGCGUCUGAUUAGCUAGUUGGUGAGGUAACGGCUCACCAAGGCGACGAUCAGUAGCCGACCUGAGAGGGUGAUCGGCCACAUUGGAACUGAGACACGGUCCAAACUCCUACGGGAGGCAGCAGUGGGGAAUAUUGCACAAUGGGCGAAAGCCUGAUGCAGCAACGCCGCGUGAGCGAUGAAGGCCUUCGGGUCGUAAAGCUCUGUCCUCAAGGAAGAUAAUGACGGUACUUGAGGUGGAAGCCCCGGCUAACUACGUG
RNAcentral lists this ribosomal RNA (452 nucleotides) under uncultured bacterium. RNAcentral's name for it is "partial 16S ribosomal RNA". It matches the Rfam family "Bacterial small subunit ribosomal RNA", at positions 28 to 507 of the family's 1533-position model. The record is from RNAcentral.